RNAcentral lists this transfer RNA (71 nucleotides) under Loxodonta africana (African savanna elephant). It matches the Rfam family "tRNA". Rfam says of the family: Transfer RNA (tRNA) molecules are approximately 80 nucleotides in length. Their secondary structure includes four short double-helical elements and three loops (D, anti-codon, and T loops). Lineage: Eukaryota; Metazoa; Chordata; Mammalia; Proboscidea; Elephantidae. The record is from Rfam by way of RNAcentral.
GCAUUUGUGGUUCAAUGGCAGAAUUCUCACCUUCCAUGUGGGAAACUUGAGUUUGAAUCCUGGCUAAUGUA